RNAcentral lists this long non-coding RNA (264 nucleotides) under Pan troglodytes (chimpanzee). RNAcentral's name for it is "long non-coding RNA NONPTRT004829". Lineage: Eukaryota; Metazoa; Chordata; Mammalia; Primates; Hominidae. The record is from RNAcentral.
UCGGCUCCCACGCUCGGGCAGGCCUCCCGCCGGGGGAUCGGAGCUGCGGUCACUCGCGGCUUCGGGGCCGUGGCGUCCCGCGCACAGCUUCCGCGCCUCUGCAAGGCGCCCUGAAGAAAUGGAGGUGAACAGAGGAACAGCCACUCCCAGCAAGCAAGGGAAGAAGAAUCUUGAAAGCCUGUGACUUCACAGAGACUUCUUGAUUGAUGCCCCUGAAAUCAGCCUGCCAAGUGUGGCCUCUGCAGCAUAAAUACAAGGAGUCUG